Molecule: ribosomal RNA, 246 nt
Filed under: uncultured bacterium
Lineage: Bacteria
Description: partial 16S ribosomal RNA
Rfam family: Bacterial small subunit ribosomal RNA
Source: RNAcentral
GAUCCUGGCCCAGGAUGAACGCUAGCGACAGGCCUAACACAUGCAAGUCGAGGGGCAGCGGAGAGGUAGCAAUACCUUUGCCGGCGACCGGCGCACGGGUGAGUAACACGUAUGCAAUCCACCUGUAACAGGGGGAUAACCCGGAGAAAUCCGGACUAAUACCCCAUAAUAUGGGCGUUCCGCAUGGAGAGCUCAUUAAAGAGAGCAAUUUUGGUUACAGACGAGACAUGCGCCUACCUAGUUACG